AUGCUUAUACUCGAACCCUCUAUAACGUGGUAUUCUUGUGCCAGAUUUUUGCCAUUCGGUAAUAGUUAUAAUUGCAUACUUCGAUCUAGGAGUAAUGGUUGUCCCAGGAUGCGUCUCAUGUCUUACUUUGUGACAGCAGUUGGUUGCAUUUCAGUGACAGUCAAUUCAACCUUGAACAAGCAACUAAAUAGCAGGUCUUCUUUGGUUGGAAUCACCACAUCUCAUCUAUGUUACUGCAAAAGCUUUUCAUUAUUGGACCAAGCUUAUGCGAUAUGCAUUGCAGUCAGUAAGGCUGUACAUUGUGUGGAGGAACUGAAUGUGUAUCCUGUUCAGUGCACAUCGACAAAACUGGAUUCAAAAAAGUAA
This 366-nucleotide ribosomal RNA is filed under the name Triticum aestivum (bread wheat). RNAcentral's name for it is "partial small subunit ribosomal RNA". Lineage: Eukaryota; Viridiplantae; Streptophyta; Magnoliopsida; Poales; Poaceae. The record is from RNAcentral.